This 253-nucleotide ribosomal RNA is filed under the name uncultured bacterium. RNAcentral's name for it is "partial 16S ribosomal RNA". It matches the Rfam family "Bacterial small subunit ribosomal RNA", at positions 524 to 776 of the family's 1533-position model. The record is from RNAcentral.
UACAGAGGGUGCAAGCGUUGUUCGGAAUUAUUGGGCGUAAAGCGCGUGUAGGCGGCUUAGCAAGUCGGGCGUGAAAGCCCUCGGCUCAACCGAGGAAGUGCACCCGAAACUGCUGAGCUUGAGUGCCGGAGAGGAUGGCGGAAUUCCCCAAGUAGAGGUGAAAUUCGUAGAUAUGGGGAGGAACACCAGUGGCGAAGGCGGCGACCUGGGCCAAUAUUGACGCUGAGGUGCGAAAGCGUGGGGAGCAAACAGG